UGAAAGAGCUUUUAUUUUGAUAGAUAUUGCGCCCUGUUUUUCCAGCCUGUCAGUCCAGCCCUAAUCACAUAUAUUCUCAUUAUGUGAAUCGGAGACGUUAAUUAGGGUUAAGGUCAGCCUGGUGAAGUGUAAUCGCUCGCUAUCAACCAUCAUAAAUUAUGGCGAGCAGCCAUGAAAUGAUAUUUACGGCUGUGGCUAUGGCGGCGGCGGCGGCUAUUAGCCGUGCCGCUUAACCAAUGAAAUCCUCGCCAUAGUCCGCCAGGGGACGUCGUCCACGGCCGGGGUCGAAGGUUAGAACCCCCGCCUAAAUCCGUCUGAUGCUGCCGUGUGCGCAUGCGAUUACUCGUGCAUGUCUGCGACCCAGAUGUGUGUUUAAUUGGUGGAGCUACGCGCACACACACACACACACACACGAGGCCAGCUAUUAAUCUGUGACGGAAGGAAAGACAAUGGCACGUGAGGGGAAGCCACACCCACCGCGCUCUAAUUGCGUAGAGGGGAGUCGGGGGCUGUCAGGCCCGAGGAACACUGUGGCUCUGACAACUUUAAUUGGUAGUUGUCUUGUAUAUCCCUGUCUUCAUUAGCAGCCCGAGACCACCUACUUCUGCACACACACACACACACACACACACACAGACACACACAGGCGCGGUUAUUGCCAGAAAGGUCAUUAGACGUGCUCGGUUUGAUAGCAGAUUGUGAUCCAGAACGGCCGGCGUUCCGCGGUAACCUUCCAUGGAAAAAAAGGUAUUUCCAUUGACUUUAAUUCACAGGGCCUGAAAACCUGUUGCCGUGCGUGCCGUAGAGGAGCCGUGGGUUUUUAAAUUAAGCAAUUACAACAGAACAGCCGAAAUAUUUACGCCCCCCCCCCCCACACACACACACACACCCGUCCCUCCAUUUCCUCCCCAAAACACAUUGAUCAACAGACCAGAAGAAAAGAGUUACUUCCAUUUUAAUUUUGUUUUCAUUCAAAUCCGACAGCUGUGCUUCCCACCAUCUGGAUGCAGGACAGUUGUGCGUUGUUCAGCCGUUGUUACUCACGCAAACAACCUGCUGGUGCGAAACCACGAGCCGCUCAUCUGGUGACUGGGCCGCUGUGUCGGGACGCACGCCGGAGUCAAAGGUUCUGCAACCCCCCCCCCCCCCCAUGGAGAAGGAGGAGAGGGAUACUAAAUGAAGCCAGGAAGCUGGUUCUCAGAAUGUUUCUCCCGCUAACGCGUGUCAGACGGUACGACCGGCUCUUUGAGUCCUUCACCUCUUUCUGGACCAGCUUCCUGUCGAGCAGCUCCAGAAACCUCCGGCAAUCCUAAAGUGAGCGUCAGCCAUCCACACACGAAGCCCGAGAAAGAGACAGCAGAGAGAAAAGGAACAAAAGGCUUGCUGGCGCUGAAUGAUGCUGUGAGGUGAAGGUGUGCUGCUGCCGCUGUGAUCCCCCGAGUUGCACCUCGGUCUAAUAAAAGCCUUCACAUCAGGAGGCCCGAUGCCUGGCUCAUUGAUCCGCGCGCUGCAGGUGAUGUACUGUUACAUUUGGGGUUGAACAGACACGCAAAAAAAACACAGACCGCCGGAAAGCUGAGUUGAAACAUCCAUCUUUGUUCUGCAAAGAGAACUGUGGCUUCCUGUUUGCUGUUGUGUCCUUCAGAAUAAAAUACCUCUCGUGGUGGUUGCAUGCUCCUCUUGACUGUGUCUCUUUGGGGGUCGUGGUCCUAAAAGCCAGUAUCGGGGAGAUGUUUCGCAAGGAUUUAAGGCUGGAGGAGACGGGAAAACAUUUAAAUAAAACAAAUGCUAAAAUAAAUGAAUUUGUUAAACAUU
Non-coding RNA from Gasterosteus aculeatus aculeatus (three-spined stickleback), 1815 nucleotides. The record is from RefSeq and is a predicted model, not a curated record. Lineage: Eukaryota; Metazoa; Chordata; Actinopteri; Perciformes; Gasterosteidae.